This 519-nucleotide ribosomal RNA is filed under the name uncultured bacterium. Its description in RNAcentral is "bacterial SSU rRNA". It matches the Rfam family "Bacterial small subunit ribosomal RNA", at positions 380 to 918 of the family's 1533-position model. The record is from RNAcentral.
ACCCUGAUCCGCAUGCCGCGUGUGUGAAGAAGGCCUGCGGGUUGUAAAGCUCUUUCGGCGGGGACGAUGAUGACGGUACCCGCAGAAGAAGCCCCGGCUAACUUCGUGCCAGCAGCCGCGGUAAUACGAAGGGGGCAAGCGUUGUUCGGAAUUACUGGGCGUAAAGGGCGCGCAGGCGGCCGACGUAGUCAGGCGUGAAAGCCCCGGGCUUAACCUGGGAAUUGCGUUUGAUACUGGUUGGCUAGAGUUCGGGAGAGGAUGGUGGAAUUCCCAGUGUAGAGGUGAAAUUCGUAGAUAUUGGGAAGAACACCGGUGGCGAAGGCGGCCAUCUGGACCGCAACUGACGCUGAGGCGCGAAAGCGUGGGGAGCAAACAGGAUUAGAUACCCUGGUAGUCCACGCUGUAAACGAUGUGUGCUAGACGUUGGCGGGCCUAGCCUGUCAGUGUCGCAGCUAACGCGUUAAGCACACCGCCUGGGGAGUACGGCCGCAAGGUUAAAACUCAAAGGAAUUGACGGGG